Gossypium arboreum is the source of this 445-nucleotide long non-coding RNA. RefSeq lists it as uncharacterized. The record is from RefSeq and is a predicted model, not a curated record. The transcript has 2 exons. Lineage: Eukaryota; Viridiplantae; Streptophyta; Magnoliopsida; Malvales; Malvaceae.
GUAAAUGUUCCAUGAUAAUAGGUUAGGUAAAUGUUCCAUGAUAAUGGGUUAGGUAAAUGUUUCAUGAUAAGAAUUUCAUGUCUUUUUGUAUUAAAGAAUUAAAUGGAUGAAAUAUGAAGUUUUAUUAAAAGAAAAAGAGGUGAAAAGAACAAAGUUUUGUCCAUCUUUGUUCAUCAUAGCUGAAAGUUAGAGAAGAGAAAGGAGAGGAGAAAGCUCUUGAGUAUUCGGUCAUUAGGAGGAGGAAAAUUGAAGGAAAUCCCCAACCAUAGUGGGCUUGGAGCUGUGAUGGAAUUCGGAGUGACCACCCGUUCUGAAAGUUUGAUUUUCUUCUGGUGAACUGGACAUCCUUUUAAUUACGUUUGAGGUUUUGGGCUUUUAAAUGUAAUAAGGCCGCUUAUUUAUUUUUGAUGGUUUUAAUAUGUAUUACUAAGAUAGGUAAUACUUA